UGGAGACAGGUGGAGACAGGUGGAGACAGGAGGAGACAGAGGAGACAGAGGAGACAGGUGGAGACAGGAGGAGACAGGUGGAGACAGGAGGAGACAGGAGGAGACAGGAGGAGACAGGUGGAGACAGGUGGAGACAGGAGGAGACAGGUGGAGACAGGAGGAGACAGGAGGAGACAGGAGGAGACAGGUGGAGACAGGAGGAGACAGGUGGAGACAGGAGACAGGAGGAGACAGGUGGAGACAGGUGGAGACAGGUGGGGACAGGUGGAGACAGGUGGACAGGUGGAGACAGGUGGAGACAGGAGGAGACAGGUGGGACAGGAGGAGACAGGGAGGAGACAGGGAGGAGACAGGAGGAGACAGGUGGAGACAGGUGGAGACAGGUGGAGACAGGAGGAGACAGGUGGAGACAGGUGGAGACAGGAGGAGACAGGAGGAGACAGGUGGAGACAGGAGGAGACAGGAGGAGACAGGAGGAGACAGGUGGAGACAGGAGGAGACAGGAGGAGACAGGAGGAGACAGGUGGAGACAGGUGGAGACAGGAGGAGACAGGUGGAGACAGGAGGAGACAGGAGGAGACAGGUGGAGACAGGAGGAGACAGGUGGAGACAGGAGGAGACAGGAGGAGACAGGGGAGACAGGUGGAGACAGGUGGAGACAGGUGGAGACAGGAGGAGACAGGAGGAGACAGGAGGAGACAGGUGGAGACAGGUGGAGACAGGUGGAGACAGGAGGAGACAGGUGGAGACAGGAGGAGACAGGUGGAGACAGGAGGAGACAGGAGGAGACAGGUGGAGACAGGUGGAGACAGGUGGAGACAGGUGGAGACAGGAGGAGACAGGAGGAGACAGGAGGAGACAGGUGGAGACAGGUGGAGACAGGUGGAGACAGGAGGAGACAGGUGGAGACAGGUGGAGACAGGUGGAGACAGGUGGAGACAGGUGAGUGGUUCCGGUGUUUCUGGACCUACGGUGCCUGAGUCUUGGUGGUGUACUCCUUGA
RNAcentral lists this long non-coding RNA (1002 nucleotides) under Oryzias javanicus (javanese ricefish). RNAcentral's name for it is "lncRNA (ENSOJAG00000019465.1)". Lineage: Eukaryota; Metazoa; Chordata; Actinopteri; Beloniformes; Adrianichthyidae. The record is from RNAcentral.